UACAGAGGGGGCAAGCGUUGUUCGGAAUUACUGGGCGUAAAGGGCUCGUAGGUGGCCAACUAAGUCAGACGUGAAAUCCCUCGGCUUAACCGGGGAACUGCGUCUGAUACUGGAUGGCUUGAGUUCGGGAGAGGGAUGCGGAAUUCCAGGUGUAGCGGUGAAAUGCGUAGAUAUCUGGAGGAACACCGGUGGCGAAGGCGGCAUCCUGGACCGAUACUGACGCUGAGGAGCGAAAGCCAGGGGAGCAAACGGG
This 253-nucleotide ribosomal RNA is filed under the name uncultured bacterium. Its description in RNAcentral is "partial 16S ribosomal RNA". It matches the Rfam family "Bacterial small subunit ribosomal RNA", at positions 524 to 776 of the family's 1533-position model. The record is from RNAcentral.